AUAACCCCUACCGUAGAACUAAAUGCACUGUGCAUGAAACUUGGAAAAAAACCAAUAUAUAAGCCUGUUGACCCUUACUCUCUGAUGCAAUCCACCUAUAACUACAACAUGAGAGGAGGUGUUUAUCCCCUGAGGUACUUUUACCCAUUUCCAGUUCCACCUUUACUUUAUCAAGUGGAGCUUUCUGUGGGAGGACAGCAAUUUAAUGGGAAAGGAAAGACAAGACAGGCUGCAAAACAUACUGCUGCUGCCACAGCGUUGAGGAUCCUGCAGAAUGAGCCCCCACCAGAGAGGAUGGAGGUGAAUGGAAGAGAAUCAGAAGAAAAUCUCAAUAAAUCUGAAAUAAGUCAAGUGUUUGAGAUUGCACUUAAAUGAAACUUGCCUGUGAAUUUUGAGGUGGCCUGGGAGAGUGGCGCACCCCACAUGAAGGAUUCUGUGACCAAGGUUUCGGUUGGGGAGUUUGUGGAGGAAGGUGAAGGGAAAAGCAAGAAGAUUUCAAAGAAAAAUGCCGCCAUAACUGUCCUUGAGGAGCUGAAGAAGUUACCGCCCCUGCCUGCAGUUGAACAAGUAAAGCCUAGAAUCAAAAAGAAAACAAAACCUAUAGUAAAGCCACAGACAACCCCAGAAUAUGGCCAGGGGAUCUAUCGGAUUAGCAGACUGGCCCAGAUCCAGCAGGCAAAAAAGGAGAGGGAGCUAGAGUACAUGCUUCUCACAGAGCUAGGCCUUCCAUGCCACAGGGAGUUCGCAAUGCAGGUAAAGGUUGGAAACCACACUGCAGAAGGAACAGGCACCAACAAGAAGGUGGCCAGGUGCAAUGCAGCUGAGAACAUGCUGGAGGUCCUUGGUCUCAAAGUCCCGCAGGCACAGCCCACCAAGCCAGCACUCAAGUCAGAGGAGAAGACACCCAUAAAGAAACGAGGGGAUGGAAGAAAAGUAACCUUUUUUGAACCUGGCUCUGGGGAUGAAAAUGGGACUAGUAAUAAAGAGGAUGAGUUCAAGAUGCCUUAUCUAAGUCAUCAGCAGCUGCCUGCUGGAAUUCUUCCCAUGGUGCCCGAGGUCACUCAGGCUGUAGGAGUUAGUCAAGGACAUCACACCAAAGAUUUCACCAGGGCAGCUCCCAAUCCUUCCAGGGCCACAGUAACUGCCAUGAUAGCCCGAGAGUUGUUGUAUGGGGGCACCUCGCCCAUAGCCAAGACCAUUUUAAAGAAUAACAUCUCUUCAGGCCAUGUACCCCAUGGACCUCACAAGACCCUCUGAGGAACUGGACUAUCUUUUCAGAGUUUAGGGAUUUCAGGUUGACUACAAAGACUUCCCCCAAAACAACAAGAAUGAAUUUGUAUCUCUUAUCAAUUGCUCCUCUCAGCCGUCUCUGAUCAGCCAUGGUAUUGGCAAGGAUGUGGAGUCCUGCCAUGAUAUGGCUGCACUGAACAUCUUAAAGUUGUUGUCUGAGUUGGACCAACAAAGUACAGAGAUGCCUACAAUGGACCAAUGUCUGUGUGUGGGAGGUGCUGAACCUUUUCUGGCCAUGAACCAUUAUAAAAUCCCAACAUAUAUACUGAAAAUACUGAAACUGGUUUGAAAAUUUGGAAUUUCUGAUACCUCCAGUGGGCCCAGAGACACGAUGGGUAAAGGAUGUGGGCAGCAGCAGGGAAGACAACAGAGCCAUGAGGAGAUGGCUGUGGCUGGGCUGGACUGUGCUGUGCUGGGGUUUGUUGUGACGGCCACUCGGUGACCUGGCAGUCCCUAUGCAAUAGCAGCUGCCUGUGGGGAAGAAGGGCUCGUAGCUGCUGACUCUCCCAGGACACCACCAGAUCCAUGCCCUGGGCACCUCCAUGGUUGAUCUUUGUUUUCCCCUGUGUGAUAGAACAGAGAGCACGACCCCUUCUCAAGCUGGCUUACUCAGAUACAUUGAGACACACCCUGGACAGCCACACCAGAGAGAGGCUUUUGACCAGCCCCAGAGCGAAAAGCACCAUAGAAAAUCAGAUGCUUCCUACUCAGCAUGACCUAACUUUUCUAGCGUGCUAUGGCCCCACUACCCACACCAUCACCAUUGCUUUCUCUUCCAACAGUGAUCUGUAUUCUUAGUUUCAUUAUUUUUUUUGAUUGAUAUGACACUAUAUAAAAUUUUCAUUUGAGAGUUUCUCAAUUGUAUCUAGUUAUAUAGCACAGUUUGGAAA
Molecule: non-coding RNA, 2180 nt
Organism: Callithrix jacchus (white-tufted-ear marmoset)
Lineage: Eukaryota; Metazoa; Chordata; Mammalia; Primates; Cebidae
Source: RefSeq, a predicted model, not a curated record